ACAAGGGGACAUUUGUGGAGUACCUGGAAUCAUGUGUUUCUGCAGCUGCCCACUUGCCCCACUCUUGUGCCUGCCUCAGGACUGGCCUUCUGACCUAAUCUUCUCUCUCAUUCUGCCCCCGUACCCUGCGCUUUGCCAGCUGCUGAAUGGAGUCCCGUGUGAGCCAGGCCCGUGGGAGGCCGCCUUCGGGUGAUGCCUGGUGGUGCCAAAGGCCCUUGCCCUAAGAACUCUGCCCACUGGCAGGGCUGAGGCCUGAAAUUCCUGGCGUUAGAGUCGUUUCAUUCCUUUCGAUUACUCUGUCUUCUCCAGAGAGCUGUUGUUAAAAUGCAAAUAUGUUCCUCUGAAGGGUAACCUGUUAGCCCACUACUGUGGCCACGGAAAAGCAAAAUGCCCUGCGUUUUGGUUCAGUCACAGGACUGCCCUGUCGCCCAGUUUCUUAUCUGUAAAAUGGAGAUAAUAAGAGAUUGCAUUUUGGGGUUACCCCAAGCAUGAAAUGAGAUCGUGGACAUCAAGCAUUGGACGCGUAAGAAACAGUCGAUAAAAUUGGCUUUUGCUUUUUUUUCUUUAUAAUGCAGUAGGAUUAUUUGAUCACUUCUCUAGCUGGUUCUUAUUAGUUUGUUUGGUUUUUCAAAGUCUUUUGUUUUAAUGUCGCCUCCUUUCAAGAUUACUUUUCUAAUUAUAAAUUGCUGCAGCUCCAAUUCAACCCCUAGCCUGGGAACUUCCUUACACCACGGGCAUGGCCCUAAAAAGACAAAAAAUAAAAGAGAGAAGAGAGGUUUCCCAUACUGUUCUGCUACGUUUUUCUCCUAAUGCUCCAUCUUGAACAUAUUGCAGAUCAUUCCAUCACCUCUAGGCCUAAAGAGAGUAAGAGCUGGUUUUGAGUUCCCUCUGUGCUCCUCUGAGCUUCCGUUCUCUGCUCUAUAAAAUAGAGGUAAUGAUUCCUUCCUUCAAAGGUUAGGAUGAGAGUUAACUAGAAUGCAAAUGUGCUCAGCACAGCUUAUUGGAUAUUGGGUGAUCAGAGCCCAUCACACCAUCGAGAAAAUGUCUUUCAUUCCUUGGAUUCCUCAUCCUCCACCCUUGGCCCCCUUGGGAGAGGACGGAUGGGAGGCUGUGGGGAAUGAGGCUGAGUCUGGGGUGAAUCACAGUGUUUCAUAAUGGAGUUUAAAAUCCUCCUUUCAGUGCGGAGUCAUGUUAAAAUCUGAAGCAGCUCAUUAACAGAUGCCGCCCGAUUUUGUUUAGGACACUGUCUCUGGGCUCACUUUUAUUUAUUCAGCUGCAGGAGGAUGCCUGAAGCCAGGUAUGUGGAUAGGAAGGCUGUGACCUGGGCCUGCCCUUCGUGGGGGCGCUCUCUUGCCAGUGGGGGAAAGCCAGCCCCUUUGAGUACAAGGGGGAGUCGUACCUUAUCUUUGCAAAAGGCAUCCCCUCCUGCUACUGAUGUUCCCUUUUCCACUUCUCUCCUUCCCUUCUGCCUUUAGAUGACCAUAUGCUUUUUCAUUUGUAUCACACAUUUUUCACAAAGACCUCUUACUCUCGUUAGCUCAUUGAACCCUCGGACAAGUCAAUAGGUUUCAGUCCGUACAACGUGACAGGUGAAGCAGCAGAGGCCCAGAGGACCUGAGAUAGGAGUCCAACUCACGCAGCAAAAAGUGGACAGAUCUGGAUGUCUUGGCUUGCAAGCCAUGCGAGUCGUGCUGUAUCAGGUUCCCUCCUUUUCUAACUGUUGGCAGGAAGCUCCUGAGAGUGAGGGCUGCGGGAGGGGCCCUCAUUCUGGCCAGUGGGGAAGCCUUUCUGGAAUGCCUGAGGUGGUUGGGCUUGGUGUGCUGGGAGGGACUGGUGAGACCAGAUAAAGGGAUGGGUUUGGAGGUCAUCCCAAGGUCAGUGGAGGGGGCGGCGCAGAGCUGGGGAGAAUGGGCUGGUGCAGAGCCUAGACACCAAAGGGGAGGCCAACCUUUGUCACCAUUGGUAGGUUGGUGGGUGUUUCCAACAUUCGGUAUCAUUUUUGAUGUUUGGCUCCCCCUUUUUUUUGCCUCAAUCAGUAGCACACCAUAAAUCCUCUUCCUGUUUCCCACAGAGGACCCCUCUCCUAAUUCAGCUUGCAUCUCCCUCACCCUCUAUAAUCACAUCCAACGAAUCAAAACCUAUCUAUUCUGUUUAGAGCUAUUCAGAUACACUCAUAUGCUUAAAUGAGCAUACUGGCUGGAUACAUUUAUUUAGCUCGUUUAAUAUCACAGUAGCCUUAUGGACCAGCUCUUCCCAACAGAAAUAUAAUGUGGGAGUUCCCGUCGUGGCGCAGUGGUUAACGAAUCCGACUAGGAACCAUGAGGUUGCGGGUUCGAUCCCUGCCCUUGCUCAGUGGGUUAACGAUCCGGCGUUGCUGUGAGCUGUGGUGCAGGUUGCAGACGCGGCUCAGAUCCUGCGUUGCUGUGGCUCUGGUGUAGGCCAGUGGCUACAGCUCCAAUUAGACCCCUAGCCUGGGAACCUCCAUAUGCAUUGGGAGCGGCCCAAGAAAUGGCAAAAAG
Molecule: long non-coding RNA, 2519 nt
Filed under: Sus scrofa (pig)
Lineage: Eukaryota; Metazoa; Chordata; Mammalia; Artiodactyla; Suidae
Description: lncRNA (ENSSSCG00030044153.1)
Source: RNAcentral